This 1223-nucleotide ribosomal RNA is filed under the name uncultured fungus. Its description in RNAcentral is "eukaryotic LSU rRNA". The stretch from base 552 to 1223 matches the Rfam family "Eukaryotic large subunit ribosomal RNA", at positions 1 to 649 of the family's 3401-position model. The record is from RNAcentral. Lineage: Eukaryota; Fungi.
AAGUCGUAACAAGGUUUCCGUAGGUGAACCUGCGGAAGGAUCAUUAUUGAAUUUUGAAAGGGGUUGUAGCUAAAUAUGUGCACGCCUCUAUCCAAUUUUCUUACACCUGUGCACUUUUUGUAGGGCCAUUCACUUGGCUCUAUGUUUUUCUAAUACACACCGCUCUGUUAUAUGAAUGGGAAUAACUUUAUUAAUAAAAUAAUAACAACUUUCAACAACGGAUCUCUUGGCUCUCGCAUCGAUGAAGAACGCAGCGAAAUGCGAUAAGUAAUGUGAAUUGCAGAAUUCAGUGAAUCAUCGAAUCUUUGAACGCACCUUGCGCUCCUUGGUAUUCCGAGGAGCAUGCCUGUUUGAGUGUCAUUAAAUUCUCAAAGUCUUUUUUCUUUUUUGAAAAGACUUUGGAUUUGGAGUGUUGCUGGCUUUAUUUGUCGGCUCCUCUUAAAUGCAUUAGCUUGUUAAUCUUUGUGGAAUAUAGGCUUUGGUUUGAUAGUAUCUAUGCCAUUGCUUGUGAAACAAAUACCAGCUUCUAAUAAACCCUUCAUUUGACAUUUUGACCUCAAAUCAGGUAGGACUACCCGCUGAACUUAAGCAUAUCAAUAAGCGGAGGAAAAGAAACUAACAAGGAUUCCCCUAGUAACUGCGAGUGAAGCGGGAAAAGCUCAAAUUUAAAAUCUGAUGGUCCUUGUGGCUGUCCGAGUUGUAAUCUAGAGAAGUGCUUUCCGCGUUGGACCGUGUACAAGUCUCUUGGAACAGAGCGUCAUAGAGGGUGAGAAUCCCGUCUUUGACACGGACUACCAGUGCUUAUGUGAUGCGCUCUCGAAGAGUCGAGUUGUUUGGGAAUGCAGCUCAAAAUGGGUGGUAAAUUCCAUCUAAAGCUAAAUAUUGGCGAGAGACCGAUAGCGAACAAGUACCGUGAGGGAAAGAUGAAAAGAACUUUGGAAAGAGAGUUAAACAGUACGUGAAAUUGUUGAAAGGGAAACGCUUGAAGUCAGUCGCGUUGGCCAGAAAUCAACCUUUUAUUUUUUUGAAGGGUGUACUUUCUGGUUUUAACGGGUCAGCAUCAAUUUUGAUUGUUGGAUAAAAUUCAAUAUUUAUGCGUUUUCGGAUGUAUAGCCUUUGAUUGCAUACAACAGUUGGGAUUGAGGAACUCAGCACGCCGCAAGGCCGGGUCUUUUUUGAUCACGUACGUGCUUAGGAUGCUGGCAUAAUGGCUUUAAUCGACC